RNAcentral lists this ribosomal RNA (1100 nucleotides) under Salmonella enterica. RNAcentral describes it as "partial 23S ribosomal RNA". It matches the Rfam family "Bacterial large subunit ribosomal RNA", at positions 1058 to 2141 of the family's 2925-position model. The record is from RNAcentral. Lineage: Bacteria; Pseudomonadati; Pseudomonadota; Gammaproteobacteria; Enterobacterales; Enterobacteriaceae.
GUUAAGUGGGAAACGAUGUGGGAAGGCCCAGACAGCCAGGAUGUUGGCUUAGAAGCAGCCAUCAUUUAAAGAAAGCGUAAUAGCUCACUGGUCGAGUCGGCCUGCGCGGAAGAUGUAACGGGGCUAAACCAUGCACCGAAGCUGCGGCAGCGACACUGUGUGUUGUUGGGUAGGGGAGCGUUCUGUAAGCCUGUGAAGGUGUGUCGUGAGGCAUGCUGGAGGUAUCAGAAGUGCGAAUGCUGACAUAAGUAACGAUAAAGCGGGUGAAAAGCCCGCUCGCCGGAAGACCAAGGGUUCCUGUCCAACGUUAAUCGGGGCAGGGUGAGUCGACCCCUAAGGCGAGGCCGAAAGGCGUAGUCGAUGGGAAACGGGUUAAUAUUCCCGUACUUGGUGUUACUGCGAAGGGGGGACGGAGAAGGCUAUGUUGGCCGGGCGACGGUUGUCCCGGUUUAAGCGUGUAGGUGUGUGUUCCAGGUAAAUCCGGUUCACUUUAACACUGAGGCGUGACGACGAGGCACUACGGUGCUGAAGCAACAAAUGCCCUGCUUCCAGGAAAAGCCUCUAAGCAUCAGGUAACAUCAAAUCGUACCCCAAACCGACACAGGUGGUCAGGUAGAGAAUACCAAGGCGCUUGAGAGAACUCGGGUGAAGGAACUAGGCAAAAUGGUGCCGUAACUUCGGGAGAAGGCACGCUGACACGUAGGUGAAGUGAUUUACUCAUGGAGCUGAAGUCAGUCGAAGAUACCAGCUGGCUGCAACUGUUUAUUAAAAACACAGCACUGUGCAAACACGAAAGUGGACGUAUACGGUGUGACGCCUGCCCGGUGCCGGAAGGUUAAUUGAUGGGGUCAGCGCAAGCGAAGCUCCUGAUCGAAGCCCCGGUAAACGGCGGCCGUAACUAUAACGGUCCUAAGGUAGCGAAAUUCCUUGUCGGGUAAGUUCCGACCUGCACGAAUGGCGUAAUGAUGGCCAGGCUGUCUCCACCCGAGACUCAGUGAAAUUGAACUCGCUGUGAAGAUGCAGUGUACCCGCGGCAAGACGGAAAGACCCCGUGAACCUUUACUAUAGCUUGACACUGAACAUUGAGCCUUGAUGUGUAG